CCCUACGGGGGAAAAAUUUAUUGCUAUUAGAUGAGCCUAUAUUAGAUUAGUUAGUUGGUGAGGUAAAGGCUUACCAAGACAAUGAUCUAUAGCUGAUCUGAGAGGAUGAUCAGCCACACUGGAACUGAGAUACGGUCCAGACUCCUACGGGAGGCAGCAGUGGGGAAUAUUGGACAAUGGGCGAAAGCCUGAUCCAGCCAUGCCGCAUGAGUGAAGAAGGCCUUCGGGUUGUAAAGCUCUUUUAGUGAGGAAGAUAAUGACGGUACUCACAGAAGAAGUCCUGGCUAACUCCGUGCCAGCAGCCGCGGUAAUACGGAGAGGGCUAGCGUUAUUCGGAAUCAUUGGGCGUAAAGGGCGCGUAGGCGGGUUAGUAAGUUAAAAGUGAAAUCCCAAGGCUCAACCUUGGAACUGCUUUUAAAACUGCUAGUCUAGAGAUUGAAAGAGGAUAGAGGAAUUCCUAGUGUAGAGAUGAAAUUCGUAAAUAUUAGGAGGAACACCAGUGGCGAANGCGUCUAUCUGGUUCAAAUCUGACGCUGANGCGCGAAGGCGUGGGGAGCAAACAGGAUUAGAUACCCUGGUAGUCCACGCUGUAAACGAUGAAUGUUAAAUAUGGGAAGUUUACUUUCUGUAUUAUAGCUNACGCGUUAAACAUUCCGCCUGGGG
RNAcentral lists this ribosomal RNA (663 nucleotides) under uncultured Wolbachia sp. RNAcentral's name for it is "bacterial SSU rRNA". It matches the Rfam family "Bacterial small subunit ribosomal RNA", at positions 192 to 878 of the family's 1533-position model. Lineage: Bacteria; Pseudomonadati; Pseudomonadota; Alphaproteobacteria; Rickettsiales; Anaplasmataceae. The record is from RNAcentral.